Long non-coding RNA from Capsicum annuum, 1240 nucleotides. RefSeq lists it as uncharacterized. The transcript has 2 exons. The record is from RefSeq and is a predicted model, not a curated record. Lineage: Eukaryota; Viridiplantae; Streptophyta; Magnoliopsida; Solanales; Solanaceae.
UAAUUUUUAUACUUAAUCCUAACCACUCUCCUACUCCACCCCCACAUACCCCUACCCUUACCCUUACCCCUUACACGUUUCCCCAUGUGUUUCCCUUAAUAGAAUUGAAAACGGAGGCCUCACAGGGAUUCACACGCAUAAUACAUAUAACAAAUACUCACAUACAGUAAGACACUCUCAGAUUCUCACCAUUGAAAUACAUACACCACAGAUUCCAUUAAGAUACAACACAAAAACCUCCAUUUUUCCAUUAUUCACAACAAUUCAUUCACACAACAAUCUACCCACACCAUCGGGAAAGGGGAACACACUCACAGAUGUAGACACACACACACAUAAACCUCCAUUUUUUCUUCUUGGUAUUGGGUGAAUUAUGCACACACACGCACACGGUGUGUGUGUGGGGGGGGGGGGGGGGUCGACGGUGAUUACAAAAUUGAGCGAGAAAAGGGGAUUGGGAGAAGUGAUUGAGAGAGAGGCCAGAGAACAAUGUUUCGGCGACUGCUCUGUCACCGGAAAACUCGGCUAAACUGCCGAAAAAUGCCCUCUCCAUUGGUGAACGCCACCAAUCUCACCCCCUCCCAGCUCCGACUAGACCGCUCGAUCGGCAUCUAGUAGCGGCGGCCCUAUUUCUGUUUCCGUUCCGGCCAAGUUCGACGGAAUUUGCAAAAGCAGCCUUAAACUAAUUGAAACCGAUCCAUUGUGGUCUGAUUCAGGUGAAAUCCAUCGAAAGCGAGCGAAGCGGAGUCGGUUCUUCCUGAAAUCGGAUUCGGCCAUGGUUUUUUUUAGCGAUUCUGUUUUUGGAUCAAUUGGGUUUUUUAUUUUUGCGGUUUGUUCAUUGGUUUUUAUUCAAUUUGAACUCGAUUUUGUCAUUAGUUUUCAAUACCGAGCCAGAGUCGUUCCUUUUGAGAUUCUCCGUUGGUUUUCAGAUCUAAUCGGGUUGUAUUUCUCUAUAUCGAGUCGAGUAUGGUUGUGGUUGAGGUUCAGUUCGAGAUUUCCAGUUGCGGGCUAUCUUUAUUCAAUAACAUGGAGUUAAAGCUUCAAAUUGAGGAAUGCUCCGAGAAAUUUGUACUUGAAGAUGGCGUGCGAUAAAGUCUCGGAACGUCUGGUGGAGUUUAGUCUAGGACUAGUUUAGAAUAUGAUUUAUAUUUUCGCAUUUUUCUAUUUUGGACUGUAUAAUUGUACUGGCCGCUAUAUUUUGGAUUUGUUUUGUUUUAUUUGUUUGUUUAAUUGUUUUAUG